AAGCGAGGCUGUGAAGCGGAGCAAAUCUCAAAACCGGUCCCAGUUCGGAUUGUAGGCUGCAACUCGCCUACAUGAAGUCGGAGUUGCUAGUAAUCGCGGAUCAGAAUGCCGCGGUGAAUGCGUUCCCGGGUCUUGUACACACCGCCCGUCACACCAUGGAAGUUGGGGGCGCCCGAAGUUGCCUAAGAAAUAAGGUACCUAAGGCGAAACCAAUGACUGGGGUGAAGUCGUAACAAGGUAGC
This 242-nucleotide ribosomal RNA is filed under the name uncultured bacterium. RNAcentral describes it as "partial 16S ribosomal RNA". It matches the Rfam family "Bacterial small subunit ribosomal RNA", at positions 1247 to 1500 of the family's 1533-position model. The record is from RNAcentral.